GUUUAGAGGAAUGUUGUUUGGCUCGAGGUCAUGAAGAGUAAUUCUUUAACCAAAUAUAAGGCUCUAAAUGAUUCUCGGACCAGGCUUCAUUCCCCUCAAC
This 100-nucleotide microRNA precursor is filed under the name Eutrema salsugineum. RNAcentral describes it as "mir-166 microRNA precursor family". It matches the Rfam family "mir-166 microRNA precursor family". Rfam says of the family: This family represents the plant microRNA (miRNA) precursor mir-166. Animal miRNAs are transcribed as ~70nt precursors and subsequently processed by the Dicer enzyme to give a ~22nt product. Lineage: Eukaryota; Viridiplantae; Streptophyta; Magnoliopsida; Brassicales; Brassicaceae. The record is from Rfam by way of RNAcentral.